UAUAACUGUAUGACCAGGAUACAUUUGCAGGAUCCACAGAUGUCUUUGAAGCAAUGGCAUCUAUACAUCUACCGACAACCUUCAGCUCCUCAGACCAAGGUAAUAGUGCCUUCGUGCUCAGGAGAACAAUGAUCGAAUCUUUCCAGCUCCGGAGGAUGCUGGAGUUUAUGAAGACCUCGAUUUUGAAUAUCAAGUUCCCUUUGUCCAUAUCUUCAGUCAUUCCAAGGAUCCAGUAGAUUGGAAAGAGACAGCCCAACAGCAAUCAGACGUGAAGCAUAAAUGUUGAUGAUGUUACUACUCUUGAUGGCAUGACAAAGAGACCCCGACAGUUGAACAUUCUAUGUCUGAAGAACUACGUGCUCCAGGAUGUAACACAUAUCUACUUCCACCACCCUUGGCCGUUAUUUGUAGAAGCAAAUAUAAAUGCUUAGUGUUGACUUCAGCAAAAAUUGCUGAAAAUACUAGCACACUGACCUUGUGUAAGUAGAAUCUGACUUCACCGAUAUGCACAAUGACAUCUGUUGCAAGGUCAGAGACCACCAAUCUGCACGCAUCAACAAACUUGUGAGCAUAUCAUAUUACGAAACAGAAUACAGAAACACUCUUUGGUAGCCA
Long non-coding RNA from Triticum aestivum (bread wheat), 615 nucleotides. RefSeq lists it as uncharacterized. The record is from RefSeq and is a predicted model, not a curated record. The transcript has 2 exons. Lineage: Eukaryota; Viridiplantae; Streptophyta; Magnoliopsida; Poales; Poaceae.